RNAcentral lists this ribosomal RNA (253 nucleotides) under uncultured bacterium. RNAcentral describes it as "partial 16S ribosomal RNA". It matches the Rfam family "Bacterial small subunit ribosomal RNA", at positions 524 to 776 of the family's 1533-position model. The record is from RNAcentral.
UACAGGGGGUGCAAACGUUGCUCGGAAUUAUUGGGCGUAAAGCGCGCGUAGGCGGCUACUUAAGUCGGAUGUGAAAGCCCUUGGCUCAACUGAGGAAGUGCACCCGAAACUGAGUGGCUAGAGUACGAAAGAGGGUCGCGGAAUUCCCUGUGUAGAGGUGAAAUUCGUAGAUAUCGGGAGGAACACCGGUGGUGAAGGCGGCGACCUGGGUCGAUACUGACGCUGAUGCGCGAAAGCGUGGGGAGCAAACAGG